Molecule: non-coding RNA, 2715 nt
Organism: Vicugna pacos (alpaca)
Lineage: Eukaryota; Metazoa; Chordata; Mammalia; Artiodactyla; Camelidae
Source: RefSeq, a predicted model, not a curated record
GAUCACUAGCAUUUUCUCUUAGCGUAGCAUUCAAUUACCUUUUCUACCAACAAUGGCAAAGUGCCCUUGGCUGAGAUGGUACCUCAUCGUUGUUUCAGCGGAAGAACACAGGAGGUGGGUGACUUUAUUCCUUCACAUUUAAGGACUCUCACAGGUCUUCUAGGCUCCUCCGGCUACAGAUUCCUAAGGACUGAAGAAAAACAGAAUAAAGGAGAUAGAAGAGGACACGGAAGCAUGAUGAGAGCAGAAAGCUUUUGCUAAAACCAAAGAAGCAACCACAGGACAAUAAACAUACUCCACCGUCCAAAGGUGAAGGCACAGCAGGCUUCACGGAGCUGGUGAAACAGAACACUGAACAGUCUGGAUCUAUUAACAAGUCAGGCCGUAAAGCACCUUCUACAAUGUGUCAUUUAUUUGGAGAGAGUGGGCCUGGCAAAGAAUGAGAAACAGCCGAAGGCAUAGACAAGCCCAGUGCUGCUCCUGUUUUAAAGGCAGUUUAAAAGCUCAAAUGCGGAGAGAAGAGGAGGAAACAGAAAGUUAGAGCGGGACACAUGCUGCUGCUGCUGCUGCUGCUGCCGCUCUGAUGGCAGACAGGCGCUGGCCUCGGAGACAGGAAGGACCAUCCCAGCAUCCCAACCCUCUGCCACUUACCCCCCACCCCGGGUGUGGGAGAGGAGGGGAGCAGGUGUGCCCCAAGCCUGAAUACCCUUGCUUCAUAGAAAUGUCCUGGCCUUUGGACCAACAGCUCCUCUUUGGGUAGAAGUUGGAACACAUCUACCAAACAGACUGAUUUUGUUCUUUAAAGGAACACGUUUGAGCUCCUGAUUUGUUCUACUCUACAAAUAUCCCAAUGGCUUUGGGGCUUUUGGCUAAAGUGAUUCCAUCCCUGAAGUGCAUCUCCUUUUUACAUCUCCACCACCACCAGCACCAUUUUCUCAUCACCACAUCUAGGGGAGUGCCAUGCUAGGUUCUAGGUUUCCUGGAUAAAAGAUGGAUCAGACAAAGUGUCUGUCCCCAAGAAUCUUUCUGCCUAGUAUCACUAUCAUGAUAAAACUGCAUGAGAAAUAUUCCUUGAGUUCAGAAAUGUAUUUCCAAAAAGUUAAAGUAUUCUUCUGGGGCUUCAUGGUUUGCUAUUUGAUUUUCCCACCUUCUGCGGUCAAGUCCCACUUUGAAAUGACAGGGGCAACCACCAGAAAUGACACAGGAUCUAACUUACAAGCUGAAAAAUGACCAUUUCAUUAGGUUGAACCAGAGAUACACACACAACCUGAAUUAUUCCUAAAGAAAGCUUGAGGUGCGCUUUGCCUGGGACCUUUCUGCUCCAUUCCCCUCCAGGCUCUGAAAUACGAUUCCUUGGCAAUACAGCCACUUCAGAUUCAGCCUUUACAUAGUAAUGACAUAGGUUCCAUGCCGCUCCAGAUGUAUAAGAGUACUGGAAUUUUGGCCUCUGGGAUAACCGAGGUGUUGCUAUAAAACAUACAGGUUUACUCUUUAACAGUCAGGAAUGUCUAGAACAACUACAGCACUUCUUUUUGUUAGAAGUAAAAAAAAAAAAUCCACAUUGUUGGAAGGUGCAUAUUAUUAGAAUUUAUUCCUGAUUCUCUUUUAAUAUAAUUUGUUCUAUACACUACUUCCCUUGGCUGCUGUUUUAUAGGAGUAACUAUUGUUCUUCGCUUAAAAGGAAAAUGCCACCACUGAGUGCAGGCAAUGGUUUCAUUUCUUUCUCUGUGUUUGGAGAAGGACGCUGCCACCACAGCUAAGAUACCUGAUGGGUUGCCGUGUAGGGGCUCCCCCAAAUGGCGGCCGGCAUCAAGGUCCUCUGUGAAGUUCACCUGGAACCCACCCUACUCCUGAUAAUGUACACUGAUGAGCCGGGGCAAACGGUAGCUUCCGUCACUCUGGAGGGAUGAAAGCUCGAGUCUGUCGCCUGUGAUAAGAAUGGAGUGACAGAGUGGUUGAAGGUUCUUGUACCAUCAUGAAAAUCCUUAGUCACUGAAGAUGGUCAUCUAUGGAGAAGGUCUAUGGAGAAGGUCUAUGGGCUUACCAACAAACUGGUGUAGGGGAUUAUUUACUCAGAUCAUAAUUUAAAACAAAAACAAGCAGUAAUAUUGUCUUUACACAUGCAGAACCCCUCCACUCUGUAAUCCAGACGUGUCCGGGGUGACUCUAACACACCUAUUUAAUGGCACUGGCUUGGAGCCAAACUGCUCUUGCUCUACUUAAGGUUAGCCAGAGAGAAGGCACAGCUUUCUUGGCAAUGCCUUCACCAUCACCCGCAGCCACUACGGACAUGGUUCACCCCGGGCUGUUCACCUGAGCGGAAGGCCCUCCCUUAGCUCUUUAGCUAAUGGCUGGUUUUAUGGGGGAUGUGCACACUCCGAGUUUUCAUCUGCACUGCAGUCCUAUGCCGCAGGCGAGAAAGUGUCAAAAAACAACAAAGACCAGUCUCUUUCCCUUGAGCACUCCCUUUUGUAAUAUUCCUCUGCUCCCAGACUUAAUAUCUUGCAUUUAUCUUGUGAGCUGAAUCGCUCCGUUUUAACCUAGUUACAUAAAUGAUCAAAGCCUUCCUCUAAUUCCCCUCAUCUUUCCAGGGUCUCUGCAGACAAGCUCUCGAGUCUUUCUGCACUACUUCAGAAAGAGGUUGCAUUGGAAAUUGCUUGUUUACUUUAUUUCCUCAUUCAUUUUAAUGUAAACACAACAUCCAUUUUCUGCCAA